RNAcentral lists this ribosomal RNA (623 nucleotides) under uncultured bacterium. RNAcentral's name for it is "bacterial SSU rRNA". It matches the Rfam family "Bacterial small subunit ribosomal RNA", at positions 394 to 1033 of the family's 1533-position model. The record is from RNAcentral.
ACGCCGCGUGCGGGAUGAAGGCCUUCGGGUUGUAAACCGCUUUUACCAGGAAGGAAAAUGACAGUUACCUGGAGAAUAAGGUGCGGCCAACUACGUGCCAGCAGCCGCGGUGACACGUAGGCACCAAGCGUUGUCCGGAUUUAUUGGGCGUAAAGAGCUCGUAGGCGGUUCAGUAAGUCGGGUGUGAAAACUCUGGGCUUAACCCAGAGACGCCACCCGAUACUGCUGUGACUUGAGUCCGGUAGGGGAGUGGGGAAUUCCUGGUGUAGCGGUGAAAUGCGCAGAUAUCAGGAGGAACACCAAUGGCGAAGGCACCACUCCGGGCCGAGACUGACGCUGAGGAGCGAAAGCGCGGGUAGCAAACAGGAUUAGAUACCCUGGUAGUCCACGCCGUAAACGGUGGGCACUAGAUGUGGGUUCCAACCAACGGAAUCCGCGUCGUCGCUAACGCAUUAAGUGCCCCGCCUGGGGAGUACGGCCGCAAGGUUAAAACUCAAAGGAAUUGACGGGGGCCCGCACAAGCAGCGGAGCGUGUUGCUUAAUUCGAUGCUACGCGAAGAACCUUACCUGGGUUUGACAUGUACGGAAAAGCCACAGAGAUGUGGUGUCCUUCGGGGUCGUAC